UAUGUGCUUCUGUAUUUCCUAAGAGGAAGUCUUCCAUGGCAGGGUCUUAAGGCUGUUGAUAAGAAGCAAAAGUAUGAUAAAAUCUGUGAGAAGAAGAUAUCAACCCCUAUUGAGGUUUUAUGCAAAGGUCACCCUGUGGAGUUUGCUUCA
This is a non-coding RNA of Camelina sativa (false flax), 150 nucleotides long. NCBI's taxonomy places the organism in Eukaryota, Viridiplantae, Streptophyta, Magnoliopsida, Brassicales, Brassicaceae. The record is from RefSeq and is a predicted model, not a curated record.